Long non-coding RNA from Oxyura jamaicensis (ruddy duck), 1043 nucleotides. RefSeq lists it as uncharacterized. The record is from RefSeq and is a predicted model, not a curated record. The transcript is spliced from 3 exons. NCBI's taxonomy places the organism in Eukaryota, Metazoa, Chordata, Aves, Anseriformes, Anatidae.
UGGUUGGGGCAGAAACGCUUUUAGUGGCAUAGUGUUUCCCAAAUGCAGAGGGCUGCAUGGGGCAGGAGGUGGUGGAGACCAAUGGUCCCUUGUGGAGUUGCUUUGGAGCUCAUAAAGCAGGACAACUGAAGCCUGAACCUCAGUGACAAGCUUGACUUUGCCUGAUGCACCUCAAGAGCAAGACCUUGAUACUUUCUUAAAAGAAGCGCAUGGCCCAGUGAUCUUGAAGCUCUUGGUGAAAAGAAAUCAAGGGGAAUGCUUCUCAUGUUCAGCUCAGAGGCUAGCAUGUAUAUUCUUGACAAGGGAUGAUAAAUUAGGCAUGCAACCCUUCUGUAAGCCCUGCUAAGCUCUCUCCCUUCCUCUGUCUGGUGACGAGAGCUCCACAUUGUUUGGAAACACUUUCCAGCACAGAAGCUGCACAGAAGCAAAGUGAAGUCCUGAUCCCUUACUGCGGGAGCUGGAGAGAGCUCCACGCACCAGCCUGUAGCUGUAUGUAAUCAUAAAACAGCGUGUAAUGCAACAGGUCUUGGUACAAGUCGCAUGGGGAAGCAGUGGUAAAAGGCAAAGACAGCCCAGCCUACUGGGGGGGCACUCUGGUGGCCGAGGGAGCUGCAGAGACAGGGUCCGAGCUGCAGAAGUGGCCCCCUGAGGGCCACAGAAAGGGACCGUGUCUGCCCACGGGAGGGCAAGCUGCCACCUUCUGUCACAACCAAGGACUACCCUGAUGGCUGUGUGGGGUGGCCAGGUCCCCCUCUUGCUCUUUCUCCCACCCACCUGCACUCUCUCCCUCUUCCCUUCCUUAGUCUGAAUAAUUAUAGUCUGCCACACGAAGCAAUUACAGUUAGCCAGCUCCAUCAAGAGUUGUGUUUUUUUUUUUUUUCUCCUCUUCAUUCAACAUCCCUGAGUGCCUCAAAGGAGUUUAAUAACCCAUAAUGACACCCUAGACCUCCACGUCAUUGCAGCCUCCCUAGGACUGGGGCAGCAGCAGGAAAAAAUAAAAUAAAGUAAAAUAAAAGUAAUUAAAAUCCACAUCUCUCUUUUAA